Oryza punctata is the source of this 139-nucleotide non-coding RNA. The record is from Rfam. Lineage: Eukaryota; Viridiplantae; Streptophyta; Magnoliopsida; Poales; Poaceae.
CCUUUAGAUGAAGAAGAUAUUGUUGCUUAUAUUUUAAAUGGGUUAGAAGACGAUUAUGAGCCAAUUGUGACUGCACUGGUAACAAGGGUUGAGCCUCUUACUGUACCGGAUUUAUACUCUCAAUUGCUUAACUUUGAGC